Molecule: long non-coding RNA, 443 nt
Filed under: Phascolarctos cinereus (koala)
Lineage: Eukaryota; Metazoa; Chordata; Mammalia; Diprotodontia; Phascolarctidae
Description: lncRNA (ENSPCIG00000035586.1)
Source: RNAcentral
GAUAUGAUGUGUGCCUUAUUAAAUAGUAUAUCUGAUACAACCAAAGACAGUGACAGUAGUGAAAUUGAUCGAACAAGAACAAGCAGAAAUACUAUAGAAGAAGAGGAAAUCAAGUCCAGAGAAGUUCUCUUUAGCUGUGAAAUACAGAAUCAAAUGGCCAGAUGUGGAAUUGCAGGAAGUUCUGAAAAGGAGUCUGGAGGAGGUGUAAUUGAAGAAUCCCCUGCACAAUAACAGCUGUCACUGAAGGUGCUCGCAAUAGUAGAAUCUUGAGUUCUACUUGAGUCAAAAACCAUACUAGCAAAGAUAUAUUUGAAAACAUGCUUAUGCAUUUACUUGUUAGACUUGAAAGCUAAUGUCAUUUAUUUUAUGUUCUUGUACUAAUGUGGAUUUAUAAAAUGUACAGAAGGAAGAGAAUAAAUGUUUAAUAUAAAUCUGAAUUGCCA